AUGUCUCGUGGCGGCGGCUACGGGGAGAUGGGGCAGAAGAUCGACUAUGUGUUCAAGGUGGUGCUCAUCGGCGACUCCGCCGUCGGCAAGUCGCAGCUGCUGGCGCGGUUCGCGCGCAACGAGUUCAGCCUCGACUCCAAGGCCACCAUCGGCGUCGAGUUCCAGACCAAGACCCUCCAGAUCGACAACCGCACCGUCAAGGCCCAGAUCUGGGACACCGCGGGACAAGAGAGGUACCGAGCAGUAACAAGUGCCUAUUACAGAGGUGCAGUAGGAGCUAUGCUAGUGUAUGACAUGACCAAGCGCCAGUCCUUUGAUCAUAUGGCACGGUGGCUCGAGGAAUUGCGAAGCCAUGCUGACAAGAACAUUGUUAUCAUGCUCAUCGGGAACAAAUCGGACCUGGGCACCCUCCGGGCUGUCCCAACAGAGGACGCCAAGGAGUUCGCCGAGCGUGAGAGCCUUUUCUUCAUGGAGACGUCCGCUCUUGAGGCUACCAACGUGGAGAAGGCCUUCAUGACCGGCCUCGAAGAGAUAUACCGCACCGUCAGCAAGAAAAACCUUGUCGCCAACGACGAGGCUAACUCCGGUGGGAACUCGAGCUUGCUGAAAGGAACGAAAGUUAUCAUCCCUGGCCAGGAGCCGGCCCCUCCGGCCAAGGCAGCAUGUUGUAUGUCCUCCUAG
RNAcentral lists this ribosomal RNA (681 nucleotides) under Triticum aestivum (bread wheat). RNAcentral's name for it is "partial small subunit ribosomal RNA". The record is from RNAcentral. Lineage: Eukaryota; Viridiplantae; Streptophyta; Magnoliopsida; Poales; Poaceae.